RNAcentral lists this unclassified non-coding RNA (188 nucleotides) under Homo sapiens (human). Its description in RNAcentral is "ribosomal protein S18 (ENSG00000227794.5)". Lineage: Eukaryota; Metazoa; Chordata; Mammalia; Primates; Hominidae. The record is from RNAcentral.
CUCUCUUCCACAGGAGGCCUACACGCCGCCGCUUGUGCUGCAGCCAUGUUUACUGUGUCUGAUUUCUUCCCCCGUACUUUUUCAACUAGUCUCUAGUGAUCCCUGAAAAGUUCCAGCAUAUUUUGCGAGUACUCAACACCAACAUCGAUGGGCGGCGGAAAAUAGCCUUUGCCAUCACUGCCAUUAAG